AGUGAACGCUGGCGGUAGGCCUAACACAUGCAAGUCGAACGGCAGCACAGUAAGAGCUUGCUCUUACGGGUGGCGAGUGGCGGACGGGUGAGGAAUACAUCGGAAUCUACUUUUUCGUGGGGGAUAACGUAGGGAAACUUACGCUAAUACCGCAUACGACCUACGGGUGAAAGCAGGGGAUCUUCGGACCUUGCGCGAUUGAAUGAGCCGAUGUCGGAUUAGCUAGUUGGCGGGGUAAAGGCCCACCAAGGCGACGAUCCGUAGCUGGUCUGAGAGGAUGAUCAGCCACACUGGAACUGAGACACAGUCCAGACUCCUACGGGAGGCAGCAGUGGGGAAUAUUGGACAAUGGGGGCAAGCCUGAUCCAGCCAUACCGCGUGAGUGAAGAAGGCCUUCGGGUUGUAAAGCCCUUUUGUUGGGAAAGAAAAGCAGCAGGUUAAUACCCCGCUGUUCUGACGGUACCCAAAGAAUAAGCACCGGCUAACUUCGUG
This 492-nucleotide ribosomal RNA is filed under the name uncultured bacterium. Its description in RNAcentral is "partial 16S ribosomal RNA". It matches the Rfam family "Bacterial small subunit ribosomal RNA", at positions 29 to 507 of the family's 1533-position model. The record is from RNAcentral.